GAUCCUGGCUCAGGAUGAACGCUAGCUACAGGCUUAACACAUGCAAGUCGAGGGGGCAGCAUGGUCUUAGCUUGCUAAGGCCGAUGGCGACCGGCGCACGGGUGAGUAACGCGUAUCCAACCUGCCUUACACUCUUGGACAGCCUUCUGAAAGGGAGAUUAAUACAAGAUGUUAUCAUGAGUAAGCUAUUUUCACAUGAUUAAAGGUUUACCGGUGUAAGAGUGGGGAUGCGUUCCUA
RNAcentral lists this ribosomal RNA (238 nucleotides) under uncultured bacterium. RNAcentral's name for it is "partial 16S ribosomal RNA". It matches the Rfam family "Bacterial small subunit ribosomal RNA", at positions 15 to 241 of the family's 1533-position model. The record is from RNAcentral.